This 600-nucleotide ribosomal RNA is filed under the name uncultured bacterium. Its description in RNAcentral is "bacterial SSU rRNA". It matches the Rfam family "Bacterial small subunit ribosomal RNA", at positions 881 to 1482 of the family's 1533-position model. The record is from RNAcentral.
UACGGUCGCAAGACUAAAACUCAAAGGAAUUGACGGGGGGCCCGCACAAGCAGCGGAGCAUGCGGGCUUAAUUCGACGCAACGCGAAGAACCUUACCAAGGCUUGACAUAUAGCGAAAAGUGGCAGAGAUGUCAUGUCCGCAAGGGCGCUAUACAGGUGGUGCAUGGUUGUCGUCAGCUCGUGUCGUGAGAUGUUGGGUUAAGUCCCGCAACGAGCGCAACCCUCGUUCUGUGUUGCCAGCAUUUAGUUGGGGACUCACAGGAGACUGCCGGGGUCAACUCGGAGGAAGGUGGGGAUGACGUCAAAUCAUCAUGCCCCUUAUGUCUUGGGCUGCACGCAUGCUACAAUGGCUGGUACAAAGGGCUGCGAAACCGUAAGGUGGAGCGAAUCCCAAAAAGCCAGUCUCAGUUCGGAUUGGGGUCUGCAACUCGACCCCAUGAAGUCGGAGUUGCUAGUAAUCGCAGAUCAGCAACGCUGCGGUGAAUACGUUCCCGGGCCUUGUACACACCGCCCGUCACAUCACGAAAGUCGGUAACACCCAAAGUCAGUGGCCCAACCGCAAGGAGGGAGCUGCCUAAGGUGGGAUCGGUGAUUGGGAUG